This 433-nucleotide ribosomal RNA is filed under the name uncultured bacterium. RNAcentral's name for it is "partial 16S ribosomal RNA". It matches the Rfam family "Bacterial small subunit ribosomal RNA", at positions 29 to 507 of the family's 1533-position model. The record is from RNAcentral.
AACGAACGCUGGCGGCAUGCCUAACACAUGCAAGUCGAACGAGACCUUCGUGUCUAGUGGCGCACGGGUGCGUAACGCGUGGGAACCUGCCCUUAGGUUCGGAAUAACUCCCCGAAAGGGGUGCUAAUACCGGAUAAUGUCUUCGGACCAAAGAUUUAUCGCCUUUGGAUGGGCCCGCGUUGGUUUAGCUAGUUGGUAGGGUAAAAGCCUACCAAGGCGACGAUCCAUAGCUGGUCUGAGAGGAUGAUCAGCCACACUGGGACUGAGACACGGCCCAGACUACUACGGGAGGCAGCAGUGGGGAAUAUUGGACAAUGGGCGAAAGCCUGAUCCAGCAAUGCCGCGUGAGUGAUGAAGGCCUUAGGGUUGUAAAGCUCUUUUACCCGGGAUGAUAAUGACAGUACCGGGAGAAUAAGCUCCGGCUAACUCCGUG